This 254-nucleotide ribosomal RNA is filed under the name uncultured bacterium. RNAcentral describes it as "partial 16S ribosomal RNA". It matches the Rfam family "Bacterial small subunit ribosomal RNA", at positions 524 to 776 of the family's 1533-position model. The record is from RNAcentral.
UACGUAGGGUGCGAGCGUUGUCCGGAAUUAUUGGGAGUAAAGAGCUCGUAGGCGGUGUGUCACGUCGGCCGUGAAAACCUGCAGCUUAACUGUGGGCGUGCGGUCGAUACGGGCAUCACUGGAGUUCGGCAGGGGAGACUGGAAUUCCUGGUGUAGCGGUGAAAUGCGCAGAUAUCAGGAGGAACACCGGUGGCGAAGGCGGGUCUCUGGGCCGUAACUGACGCUGAGGAGCGAAAGCAUGGGGAGCGAACAGG